GUCGAGCGGUAAGGCCUUUCGGGGUACACGAGCGGCGAACGGGUGAGUAACACGUGGGUGAUCUGCCCUGCACUCUGGGAUAAGCUUGGGAAACUGGGUCUAAUACCGGAUAUGACCACAGCAUGCAUGUGUUGUGGUGGAAAGAUUUAUCGGUGCAGGAUGGGCCCGCGGCCUAUCAGCUUGUUGGUGGGGUAAUGGCCUACCAAGGCGACGACGGGUAGCCGACCUGAGAGGGUGACCGGCCACACUGGGACUGAGACACGGCCCAGACUCCUACGGGAGGCAGCAGUGGGGAAUAUUGCACAAUGGGCGGAAGCCUGAUGCAGCGACGCCGCGUGAGGGAUGAAGGCCUUCGGGUUGUAAACCUCUUUCAGCAGGGACGAAGCGUGAGUGACGGUACCUGCAGAAGAAGCACCG
RNAcentral lists this ribosomal RNA (417 nucleotides) under actinobacterium BAL94. RNAcentral's name for it is "bacterial SSU rRNA". It matches the Rfam family "Bacterial small subunit ribosomal RNA", at positions 61 to 495 of the family's 1533-position model. The record is from RNAcentral. Lineage: Bacteria; Bacillati; Actinomycetota; Actinomycetes.